This is a non-coding RNA of Populus trichocarpa (black cottonwood), 160 nucleotides long. The record is from Rfam. NCBI's taxonomy places the organism in Eukaryota, Viridiplantae, Streptophyta, Magnoliopsida, Malpighiales, Salicaceae.
AUACUUACCUGGACGGGGUCAAUGGGCGAUCAGGAAGGUCUAUGGCCUAGGUCAGUGAUGUCCAUUGCACUUGGGAUGGGUGCUGGCUUAAGGUCUCCCCAAGAGGGAGAGCCUACGUCAUAAUUUGUGGUAGAGGGGGCUGCGCAAGUCGCGGCCCUUG